AUAAAAGUAGUCUUAGUGUGUGAGCCGCAAUGAACACAAUCAUACACCAAAUCCCUAACAAUUGAGCAUUCCCAAUCUCCUACCUAAGGAGUAUUCAUCUCCUUUUUUCUUCACAUUCAAAUUCAAUUUCACUCAUGGAGGAAGAUGUUCAGCAGGGCUUCUGUUUCUGCAAAUCGGACUUUGAUUUUGCUAUUCCGGGUAUCUUCUUCAAGAGUGGUAGCGAACCAGAUAUCACAACUAACGGAAUCCUUUUGGCAGAUAAGGGUGAUGAUGUUGUUAAGUUGUUCGAAAACUUGUGGAUCUGAAACUGUGUGAAUCAUAUAUAAAUGCACUGCGUAGCUACACAAAUAAAGUUUGUGGUGAUCAAUGAAGUCCAACAAUCUCUGGGGAUUCCUUCUUCAUUAAAGGAACAAUCUGUGGGGAUUCCUUCUUCAUUAAAGGAUUGUUUUUAGAGGAUAAUGUUAGGUUGGAAUCUUGCUUCAUUAAAGGAUUCUUUUUAGAGAAUAAGAUUGAUUGUUGUUAGAGGAUAAGAUUGACUAUUAGAGAUUGUGUGAGUGUAAUGAUGUUAUGAUAUGAUAGUGAUAUAUGCGCAUUGCAAAUGUUGCACAAAUAUUUGUAGCCCACAAGUACUUGAUGUUUGGUUGCAAUUCUACACUCAAAGUUUGGAGACACUCAAAUGUAGUAUCACGAAUCAUGUGGUUAAGUAUGGUUAUGUUGUUCUUGCAACUCCUGCUUUGAUGUUGCCUUAUGGAUUGGAAAAGAUACAUUUGAGUGGCAUGAACUUUUUCGAAGAGAACAUGGAUGUCAUUGGCUCUCUGCUUGUGAUAUCAUCCCUAUGCGUUCGGUGGUUCAAAGUGGGAAGUUUUUCAAGACUUUAGCUUCUUCUAAUAAAGAUAGUGAUUUGGUGCAAUGGAAACCGAGAUUUGGACGCUUUGCUUUAGCUGCCUAAGCAAGCAUGAAACACUGUUACUCGAAUAGAUCCAUUUGUUGUGUGUAUGCUGUUCUUGUGUUAAUUGUUGAGCAUCAAGCUUAAAAGGUGUGGGACUUAAAUAGCAGAUCCAGAAAGGUUCUAAAGAUGAGUAAGAGUGGUUUCCGUUUACUUUCAUGAAGUCCUAUCGUGGUGAUUCAGACUCUCGUCCAGCCAGAGGAGAUAUCUUAUCAAUUAAGUUGUACUUCAUGGUUUAAUCUUACUACAUGAAUUUAACCCUUCUUCCA
Salvia splendens (bonfire salvia) is the source of this 1215-nucleotide long non-coding RNA. RefSeq lists it as uncharacterized. The transcript is spliced from 3 exons. The record is from RefSeq and is a predicted model, not a curated record. NCBI's taxonomy places the organism in Eukaryota, Viridiplantae, Streptophyta, Magnoliopsida, Lamiales, Lamiaceae.